UACGAAGGGGGCUAGCGUUGCUCGGAAUCACUGGGCGUAAAGGGCGCGUAGGCGGCCGAUUAAGUCGGGGGUGAAAGCCUGUGGCUCAACCACAGAAUUGCCUCGAUACUGGUUGGCUUGAGACCGGAAGAGGACAGCGGAACUGCGAGUGUAGAGGUGAAAAUUCGUAGAUAUUCGCAAGAACACCAGUGGCGAAGGCGGCUGUCUGGUCCGGUUCUGACGCUGAGGCGCGAAAGCGUGGGGAGCAAACAGG
Molecule: ribosomal RNA, 253 nt
Filed under: uncultured bacterium
Lineage: Bacteria
Description: partial 16S ribosomal RNA
Rfam family: Bacterial small subunit ribosomal RNA
Source: RNAcentral